GAUGAAGAACGCAGCGAAAUGCGAUACGUAAUGUGAAUUGCAGAAUUCAGUGAAUCAUCGAGUCUUUGAACGCACAUUGCGCCCCCUGGUAUUCCGGGGGGCAUGCCUGUCCGAGCGUCAUUGCUGCCCAUCAAGCACGGCUUGUGUGUUGGGUCGUCGUCCCCUCUCCGGGGGGGACGGGCCCCAAAGGCAGCGGCGGCACCGCGUCCGAUCCUCGAGCGUAUGGGGCUUUGUCACCCGCUCUGUAGGCCCGGCCGGCGCUUGCCGAACGCAAAUCAAUCUUUUUCCAGGUUGACCUCGGAUCAGGUAGGGAUACCCGCUGAACUUAAGCAUAUCAAUAAGCGGAGGA
RNAcentral lists this unclassified non-coding RNA (349 nucleotides) under soil metagenome. RNAcentral's name for it is "partial contains 5.8S ribosomal RNA, internal transcribed spacer 2, and large subunit ribosomal RNA". The stretch from base 1 to 120 matches the Rfam family "5.8S ribosomal RNA", at positions 35 to 154 of the family's 154-position model. The record is from RNAcentral.